CCUCUUCGGAGUGGCAGCGGCGGACGGGUGAGUAACACGUGGGCAACCUGCCUGUAAGACUGGGAUAACUCCGGGAAACCGGAGCUAAUACCGGAUACUAUGUCAAACCGCAUGGUUUGACAUUCAAAGACGGUUUCGGCUGUCACUUACAGAUGGGCCCGCGGCGCAUUAGCUAGUUGGUGAGGUAAUGGCUCACCAAGGCGACGAUGCGUAGCCGACCUGAGAGGGUGAUCGGCCACACUGGGACUGAGACACGGCCCAGACUCCUACGGGAGGCAGCAGUAGGGAAUCUUCCGCAAUGGACGAAAGUCUGACGGAGCAACGCCGCGUGAGUGAUGAAGGUUUUCGGAUCGUAAAACUCUGUUGUCAGGGAAGAACAAGUGCCGGAGUAACUGCCGGCACCUUGACGGUACCUGACCAGAAAGCCACGGCUAACUACGUGCCAGCAGCCGCGGUAAUACGUAGGUGGCAAGCGUUGUCCGGAAUUAUUGGGCGUAAAGCGCGCGCAGGCGGUUUCUUAAGUCUGAUGUGAAAGCCCCCGGCUCAACCGGGAAGGGUCAUUGGAAACUGGGAAACUUGAGUGCAGAAGAGGACAGUGGAAUUCCACGUGUAGCGGUGAAAUGCGUAGAGAUGUGGAGGAACACCACUGACGAAGGCGACUCUCUGGUCUGUAACUGACGCUGAGGCGCGAAAGCGUGGGGAGCGAACAGGAUUAUAUACCCUGGUAGUCCACGCCAUAAACGAUAAGUGCUAACUGUUAGAGGGUUUCCGCCCUUUAGUGCUGCAGCUAA
This 791-nucleotide ribosomal RNA is filed under the name Bacillus sp. (in: firmicutes). Its description in RNAcentral is "bacterial SSU rRNA". It matches the Rfam family "Bacterial small subunit ribosomal RNA", at positions 72 to 855 of the family's 1533-position model. Lineage: Bacteria; Bacillati; Bacillota; Bacilli; Caryophanales; Bacillaceae. The record is from RNAcentral.